Molecule: ribosomal RNA, 1887 nt
Filed under: Staphylococcus aureus
Lineage: Bacteria; Bacillati; Bacillota; Bacilli; Caryophanales; Staphylococcaceae
Description: partial 23S ribosomal RNA
Rfam family: Bacterial large subunit ribosomal RNA
Source: RNAcentral
ACCAGCUAAGGUCCCAAAAUAUAUGUUAAGUGGAAAAGGAUGUGGCGUUGCCCAGACAACUAGGAUGUUGGCUUAGAAGCAGCCAUCAUUUAAAGAGUGCGUAAUAGCUCACUAGUCGAGUGACACUGCGCCGAAAAUGUACCGGGGCUAAACAUAUUACCGAAGCUGUGGAUUGUCCUUUGGACAAUGGUAGGAGAGCGUUCUAAGGGCGUUGAAGCAUGAUCGUAAGGACAUGUGGAGCGCUUAGAAGUGAGAAUGCCGGUGUGAGUAGCGAAAGACGGGUGAGAAUCCCGUCCACCGAUUGACUAAGGUUUCCAGAGGAAGGCUCGUCCGCUCUGGGUUAGUCGGGUCCUAAGCUGAGGCCGACAGGCGUAGGCGAUGGAUAACAGGUUGAUAUUCCUGUACCACCUAUAAUCGUUUUAAUCGAUGGGGGGACGCAGUAGGAUAGGCGAAGCGUGCGAUUGGAUUGCACGUCUAAGCAGUAAGGCUGAGUAUUAGGCAAAUCCGGUACUCGUUAAGGCUGAGCUGUGAUGGGGAGAAGACAUUGUGUCUUCGAGUCGUUGAUUUCACACUGCCGAGAAAAGCCUCUAGAUAGAAAAUAGGUGCCCGUACCGCAAACCGACACAGGUAGUCAAGAUGAGAAUUCUAAGGUGAGCGAGCGAACUCUCGUUAAGGAACUCGGCAAAAUGACCCCGUAACUUCGGGAGAAGGGGUGCUCUUUAGGGUUAACGCCCAGAAGAGCCGCAGUGAAUAGGCCCAAGCGACUGUUUAUCAAAAACACAGGUCUCUGCUAAACCGUAAGGUGAUGUAUAGGGGCUGACGCCUGCCCGGUGCUGGAAGGUUAAGAGGAGUGGUUAGCUUCUGCGAAGCUACGAAUCGAAGCCCCAGUAAACGGCGGCCGUAACUAUAACGGUCCUAAGGUAGCGAAAUUCCUUGUCGGGUAAGUUCCGACCCGCACGAAAGGCGUAACGAUUUGGGCACUGUCUCAACGAGAGACUCGGUGAAAUCAUAGUACCUGUGAAGAUGCAGGUUACCCGCGACAGGACGGAAAGACCCCGUGGAGCUUUACUGUAGCCUGAUAUUGAAAUUCGGCACAGCUUGUACAGGAUAGGUAGGAGCCUUUGAAACGUGAGCGCUAGCUUACGUGGAGGCGCUGGUGGGAUACUACCCUAGCUGUGUUGGCUUUCUAACCCGCACCACUUAUCGUGGUGGGAGACAGUGUCAGGCGGGCAGUUUGACUGGGGCGGUCGCCUCCUAAAAGGUAACGGAGGCGCUCAAAGGUUCCCUCAGAAUGGUUGGAAAUCAUUCAUAGAGUGUAAAGGCAUAAGGGAGCUUGACUGCGAGACCUACAAGUCGAGCAGGGUCGAAAGACGGACUUAGUGAUCCGGUGGUUCCGCAUGGAAGGGCCAUCGCUCAACGGAUAAAAGCUACCCCGGGGAUAACAGGCUUAUCUCCCCCAAGAGUUCACAUCGACGGGGAGGUUUGGCACCUCGAUGUCGGCUCAUCGCAUCCUGGGGCUGUAGUCGGUCCCAAGGGUUGGGCUGUUCGCCCAUUAAAGCGGUACGCGAGCUGGGUUCAGAACGUCGUGAGACAGUUCGGUCCCUAUCCGUCGUGGGCGUAGGAAAUUUGAGAGGAGCUGUCCUUAGUACGAGAGGACCGGGAUGGACAUACCUCUGGUGUACCAGUUGUCGUGCCAACGGCAUAGCUGGGUAGCUAUGUGUGGACGGGAUAAGUGCUGAAAGCAUCUAAGCAUGAAGCCCCCCUCAAGAUGAGAUUUCCCAACUUCGGUUAUAAGAUCCCUCAAAGAUGAUGAGGUUAAUAGGUUCGAGGUGGAAGCAUGGUGACAUGUGGAGCUGACGAAUACUAAUUGAUCGAAGACUUAAUCAA